RNAcentral lists this ribosomal RNA (497 nucleotides) under uncultured bacterium. Its description in RNAcentral is "partial 16S ribosomal RNA". It matches the Rfam family "Bacterial small subunit ribosomal RNA", at positions 28 to 507 of the family's 1533-position model. The record is from RNAcentral.
GAUGAACGCUGGCGGCGUGCCUAAUACAUGCAAGUCGAGCGAACAGACGAGGAGCUUGCUCCUCUGACGUUAGCGGCGGACGGGUGAGUAACACGUGGAUAACCUACCUAUAAGACUGGGAUAAAUUCGGGAAACCGGAGCUAAUACCGGAUAAUAUAUUGAACCGCAUGGUUCAAUAGUGAAAGACGAUUUUGCUGUCACUUAUAGAUGGAUCCGCGCCGCAUUAGCUAGUUGGUAAGGUAACGGCUUACCAAGGCAACGAUGCGUAGCCGACCUGAGAGGGUGAUCGGCCACACUGGAACUGAGACACGGUCCAGACUCCUACGGGAGGCAGCAGUAGGGAAUCUUCCGCAAUGGGCGAAAGCCUGACGGAGCAACGCCGCGUGAGUGAUGAAGGUCUUCGGAUCGUAAAACUCUGUUAUUAGGGAAGAACAAAUGUGUAAGUAACUAUGCACGUCUUGACGGUACCUAAUCAGAAAGCCACGGCUAACUACGUG